Arachis stenosperma is the source of this 1883-nucleotide long non-coding RNA. RefSeq lists it as uncharacterized. The transcript is spliced from 7 exons. NCBI's taxonomy places the organism in Eukaryota, Viridiplantae, Streptophyta, Magnoliopsida, Fabales, Fabaceae. The record is from RefSeq and is a predicted model, not a curated record.
GCUGGCACUCUCACUCUCGCUCCCAAUAAUACUCGUUGGUCAACCUCUCUCAUAACCCCUCCACCGGUGCUCCUUGCGUUGGCACUCCUUCCAUGUCCCUCCAUGAUACAACACCCGUCACGUUGUCGUCUCCCUCUUUGAAGUCGUUGUGUUGCCGUCUCCCUCUCCCUCACUCGUCGCACCUCCAUUUCCCUCUCUCAACCUUCCUCCUCGCCACUAUUGUCAGUGCCAACUGUCAGCCACAUCCGUGGCAUUGAUGGCACGGUAUAGGUUUUACAGAGCUUCUAAAUAUUAAAAGAGGCUUAAGGUAGGAGCAAUAGUCGCACAAUGAAGAUGGAGGGGGAAGAUGGCCAGGAGAGAACUCAGGAAACUGAAGAUGGCUACAAGGAAAAUUGGUGCACUUCAAGAAGCAAAGGACAAACUUGAAGAAAAGGGUGGAAGAACUCACCUAGCAUCUCCAACUAGGAAAAAGUUUACGGACUUCCCUUGAGAUGAAAAAAUAGAAAGCUGAUUAAUUUGAAAAGAAAUAUAAUGAAAUCCAAGCUCCAAAUUAGAAGACACGGAGAAGAAGUUUCGUCAGCUCUAAGAAUCACUAUACAGGAGAUGCAUAGUCCAUCAAUGAACCAUAGAGAAUCCUCUGAAAUAGAGGAUAAGCCACAAAAGUCAUUGAAUGAGAAACAGCUAGAGAAUCAAGAGUUGCUCAUUAGAUGCAUUGCACAACAUUUUAGGCUUUGCUGGAAAUAGACCAAUUGCAGCCUGUAUUAUAUACAAAUCCCUAUUGCAUUGGAGAUCGUUUGAAGUUGAGCGUACCAGUGUUCUUUAUUGCAUCAUCCAAACUAUUGGGCAUGGAAUUGAGACACAAGAGAACAAUGAUGUCUUGGCUUAUUGGUUAUCCAAUGCUUCUACGCUUCUUGUUACUCUAGCGCACCCUUAAAGCGAGAGGUGCAGUUGGAAUGGCUCCUCAACGCCGUCGUUCUUCAUCAGCAGCCCUAUUUGGAAGGAUGACACAAGACCAUUAGGAAACUAAAGAGUUUAAAGGUGCUCUGGAAAGGGAAAUCUUGAAGGUUAAGGUAUAAUCUCCCUUUAAAGUGUUUCACGAGAGAAAACUUGAGUGUUUAGUAAAGAUAUCUUAGAUUUCUUGCCAUAGUGGCACUUAUAUUCAAUACUAAGAAGAGAAGACGUGAUUACUGCAGUUUGACUUGAGAAAUAGCUAAUAGUUGUUUGGACUACUAGUGAUCAAGGAGCAACAUCUUUGAAAUUAGUUGUUUUGCACUUGUGCAGUUUGCAUAUUAGUUUUCUUUUUUGUAUUAAAACUAUUGAUAUAAUUACGUUGACUUUCACAUCAUUAAAAUUUAUGUUAUUUUUCUACUCUGAAGUAACAAUAUAUGCCAAUACAGGGCAUACUUUCUGGUGCCAGUGAACAUUACCAGGCAAGGAUGGAAGUGUGAUAACCUUUUCAUCUUUCAGUCUCUAUUUUCUAGCUUAGCAAUUGCAUUGUCUGUUGAUUUUAAUAUGAACAUGUUGCUACUGUUUAUAGUGUUGUUUGAUACCCUAUGGUACUUUCAUCCUAACCCACAAAUGCUGAUGAACUAACCUAUAUAUUUUGUUGUAUGAAUUUUCUUCCUGAAUUAUUUUUUAGGCGUUGACUCAUUUUAUGAGUAUCUACUUAAAGCUCGUAUCUUUUUUGGGAAGGAGGACUUUUUGGACAAUUUUUCAUUCUGCUUAUGUUGUUGUGCAUAAAUAUUUCAGACAUGGUCCUUAAGUUGUUUGGCUGCGACAUGAAAAUUGAACAUUAUUUUUUAUUUUUUUAUUUUUUUGAGUGGUUAAUUGUACUAACAAUCUUUAUGAUUUUAAAUUAUGUUGAUUAUUAAUUUGGAAGAUAA